Molecule: ribosomal RNA, 409 nt
Filed under: uncultured bacterium
Lineage: Bacteria
Description: bacterial SSU rRNA
Rfam family: Bacterial small subunit ribosomal RNA
Source: RNAcentral
AGAGUUUGAUCCUGGCUCAGAAUCAACGCUGGCGGCGCGCUUAACACAUGCAAGUCGAACGAGAAAGGGAGCAAUCCUGAGUAAAGUGGCGCACUGGUGAGUAACACGUGGGUAAUUUACCUUCUUGUGGGGAAUAACCCUGGGAAACUAGGGCUAAUACCGCAUACGUCCGAGAGGAGAAAGCCGCAAGGCGCAGGAAGAGAAGCCCGCGGCCGAUUAGCUAGUUGGUGAGGUAAUGGCUCACCAAGGCGACGAUCGGUAGCCGGCCUGAGAGGGCACACGGCCACACUGGCACUGAAACACGGGCCAGACUCCUACGGGAGGCAGCAGUGGGGAAUCUUGCACAAAUGGGGGAAACCCUGAUGCAGCGACGCCGCGUGAUCAAUGAAGCCCUUCGGGGUGUAAAGUU